GGUCCCUUUAAACAAACAAACAAACAAACAAACAACCCCCCCUUGUUAAGUCCGAAUUCCACCGUGCAGAGCUGCCCGUGGGUGAGGCGAGAUCCUUCGGAGCAGAGUGUCUGCAGAGGGGGUCAGAUCGUGGCACCGUGAAGGGAACUGGACCUAGCAAAGGAGUGGGUUAGAAAAGAGGUUUCCUGGAAAGUGAAAACUUGCACAUGACUUUUGAAAAUUCUGCCAGGUUUUCGGCUGGCUGCUGAGACUUUCAGGGAUACUUUGACAUCAUGUACACUGGAGUGAAUUAAUGGUUGUGCUAAGAUCAACUGAGAUAAUAAGGUAGUGUAAAUGAGAACAAAACCUGGCUUCCCUAGUUCAUUUGGAGAACGACUUACCUACAGGUAUCACAUGCUCUGGAAUGAAAUAUUGAGAAAAUCUUGGUUGGAUCAGACGCAUUUCCUUCCAUGGACACUGAGGAAGGAAAGGUUCAUCUGGCUUCUGGGUUUUCCCUGUUCAGUCUAGUCCAUAUACUGGGGAAGGAAACACAAAGCAUUGAUGCAGCAGGAUACCCCAUUGGUGGAGUUGUUCCAGGAGGAGAGGAAGAGCAGGUAACCCCAUCAGCAUCCUCCAGAAAUAGAACUGGGGCAGCAGCGUGUCAAAGGUGUGUGGUAACCCAGCUCUGCAAAGGUGUCAGAAGUGUGUCAGAUGUUAAUCAGAUCUUCAGGAGAACUUAAAGCUUCUUCAUCUUUUUCCUGCUGGUUUACAAUGUAGCUUGUGUUUGAACCACUAGGAUGUUCUUCCUUCACAAAAAAAAAAAAAAAAAAAAAAAGUAUCCAUGCUAGUGUAAUAACAUCUGAUUUAUAAAUGUUUGCAUUUCUGGGUUCCAGUGUACAUACAUCACAGGUACAUUGAUGUUUGUACAUGUGUAGUGCUUAAAGAGCAUUAUAUAGAGAAUUAUGAAUAUAUAUGCAUAUGUGAAUAUACCAUUCCAGCCUGUACUAACAUAUUUUUUGUGGGUUUUUUUUUUCAACUAGAAAAAGAGGUUUCAUACUGAAAUUUUUUUACAUGGCUCCAUUUGUAUGUACAUGCAUACACAAAGCAAGUGAAGAUUUGCGAAGUGCUGAAGUAUUCUUAAUAUUGAAUUAUGUGAAACAGAGUCAUGUUUAUCUUUAUUUAUGUGUAAAAAAUUGUAUUCUUUCAUAUUUUCUGCUGACUAUCAGAGUUUUUUGGUUGGUUUUCAAUCUCAAGAUGGACCCUCUGCUCAUGUUUUUAUUCAACUGAAUAUGGAAAAUUGACAAUACAUUUGCUGAAAUCCAGAACAAUUUUAUAAUGCAUCUUGUACAUCUUCUUAAUGUUGACAGAGAGAAUUGUGCCAAAAGUUUCAACCAGUGUAAGAUUUUCUCCAGACCUUCAACAAAUUUUGUCUCUUAAUUCCCUGUAGCCCCAGUGCAGAACAGCAAACAAGUGUUCCACUUGCUUUUUUGUGUAUGCUCUGACAAAUCUUCUAACCUGAAGCUCUCUUCUGAGCAGAACCUUUUUAUAAUGUUCCCCCUCCUCCUGAUUACAGCAAUUUCAGAUUAUUUUAUCUUCAGGCACUUUUUGUUCCCUCUUCUAAUCCUUAUCAACAGCAUGGCUUGGAUUCUUUAAUUUUACACAUCAUUAUAUGCAAUGAUAAAAAGACUAGACUCGACAUGGGUAAAUGCCAAAUCUCAGCAUGCAUUGGUUACAAAGGUGUAGUUUACAUGAAACAUGUAAGAACAUUAUAUUAGUUAUUUGCCAGUCUGGGGUCUAAAGUGUCAGCAUUUUUGUGUCUCAACAGGACAGAUACUGGCCCAGUGGCUGCCUCUUUCCUAAAGCUUCCUAAAGGUUUGAAUGAGAAAAUGAAACAAUCGCUUUCAACUCCAUGGUUUCCUGCCCUGUGGAUUCUCCAAUGUUUGAUAAUGUGACAGUGAGCAGGCUUUCCCUCCAUCCAUUAACUGAUUCAAAUAUGUUCUCUUCCCCACAUUGCUGAUUUGCAUUAAAUUAGUGGGAUUUAGUAAUUUUGAGAUUUUUUUCAGUGAAAUUGGCCAACAUUGAAAAGAUAUAAAGAGGCAGGAAAUUAUACACAGGUGAGACAGACAAGAUUGUGUCUGCUCUACUUCCAUAGGAAAUCAGGCAUGCAAUCUGUAAAAUUUACCUUCUUGUACUGCAAGAAACAUUGCUCCUAUAACUCUCAAUGUAAGUAUUAAAGAACCAUUUUUUUUGGCUGGAACAGGACUAUAUUCCUGUCAAAUAAUGGGGCAGACUUCUAGUAGGAUUAUAACUACAUACAGGUAGGAAAUAUAAAUACAGGUAGGAUUAUAACUACAUACAGUCUGAUGCAAAGAAUUUCCAGUUCAGCAACAAAAAUGGUUUGAUAACUCAGAAGAUUGAUGUCACUGUCAUUUAAUGGUUUUUAGUAGCUACAAAAUAUACAUAUUUUGGUCCCUAUAUUACCAACAGAAUAUAUAAUUUACACAUUAUUAUGAAUUUAUUAAUUUCUUAAAACUAUCAGUUCAGUUUAUUUAUUUUCGUCAUAUAUUUCUUCACAGUCUCACGAAACUCACCUACCUUUUUGUCAUCGUUUUUCUGUUCCUAACACCUCAGAUUUUAGCAAACUUUCAAAGGACCUUGGGCUAAUUCUGCCUUUCAAGGCUUCACAGGAAGCUGCAUCUUGUGUCUGAUGGACCUCUACGUGCAAAGAACUGAGAUCACAAAGUUCAUCUAUUCAUUAGUUUCAGUAGUGUAACGCUUAGCAUAAAAGACAGGAAUCGGUGAAGUAUAGCUGUGGUUUUGCACUAUGCUUUAUGUAGAAUCUUACCUGGGAUUAAAUUGCAGAAAUACAAGUAAAUGAAUAUUAGAAGUGGAAUGUCAUUAUUUAAGGACUAAAUGCAAGAUCUCAUUGUUUCUAUUCACUAGAAAUAAAUAAUGUGAAUAGCGAAUAAAUUAUUUUAUU
This 2959-nucleotide long non-coding RNA is filed under the name Zonotrichia albicollis (white-throated sparrow). RNAcentral describes it as "lncRNA (ENSZALG00000003895.1)". Lineage: Eukaryota; Metazoa; Chordata; Aves; Passeriformes; Passerellidae. The record is from RNAcentral.